AACGUAGGUGGCGAGCGUUAUCCGGAAUUACUGGGCGUAAAGCGUGUGCAGGCGGGCUGUCAAGUGGUGUAUGAAAUCUCCCGGCUUAACCGGGAUAGGUUAUGCCAGACUGGCAGUCUAGAGGCUGAGAGAGGAGCGUGGAAUUCCGGGUGUAGUGGUAAAAUGCGCAGAUAUCAGGAGGAACACCGGUGGCGAAGGCGGGUCUCUGGGCCGAAACUGACGCUGAGGAGCGAAAGCGUGGGGAGCAAACAGG
RNAcentral lists this ribosomal RNA (253 nucleotides) under uncultured bacterium. RNAcentral's name for it is "partial 16S ribosomal RNA". It matches the Rfam family "Bacterial small subunit ribosomal RNA", at positions 524 to 776 of the family's 1533-position model. The record is from RNAcentral.